UGCCAAUAAAGCAAGCAGGAAAAUAUCAGCUGGAAGUGUAGGAACCAAUCAGGAAAUUUUAGUACAUUAAAGGCAAAUGAUGGUGCCUUAAUCCUGCCAACCAACAGAAAAUAUUUUUUUUCCAUGCUAACAUUGACACAUCCAGCAAGUAGCUAACAGUAGAAAUAGACUAUAUCUAACACCAUGUGAAUGUACAACAUAACAGCAUGUCAAUGUGCAAAUGUGAAUGUAGACUAUCUCUAAAACCAUGUGAAAAUGCACUAUGUAACAGCCCCAGCCAUAUUCAUGCAACAAGCAAUUCAAAAUAAUGGAAACAAGAUAUGUUGGAUACCAUCAAAUAACUCUGACAAUGGUUGAACAGAAUACCUAAUCUACAGCAGCAUAUUUCCAACAACACGCAUAAAAGCUAAUAAGUCAAACUACCAAUCAACACGCUAAAGUCUCACAGAUUAUUAAAUAGAUUAAUGAGUCAUAUGAAACAUCUAAAAUAACAAUAUAUUAAACUUGCAAAUAUUAUAUUUAUUAUUUUUCCUCCCAUAUCUAAAAACCUCAGUUCACAAUUCAGAAAAAGUUCAAUGAAAUACUAAAUGGGUAUAUGAAGUUAUGAAUAUAUCCACUUGUAAUCACACAAAAAAAAUAGUACUACCCAUUUAAAGAAAUUGCAUCAAGUGUAUAAAUCUGCCUCACGCCUUGGCCUCAGAUUAGAAAAUGUAAUGAGUAGUGUGACAGGGAUGGGCAACAUCUGGGCAGGCUCCCUGCUGGUAGGUUCCAUGGUGGAGAAGAAGAUGAACAAUAGACUAAUGGGAAAAAGCAAUGAAAUACUAAAUGGGUAUAUGAAGUUAUGAAUAUAUCCACUUGUAAUCACACAAAAAAAAAAGUACUACCCAUUUAAAGAAAUUGCAUCCAUGCCUUGGCCUCAGAUUAGAAAAUGUAAUGAGUAGUGUAACAGGGGUGGGCAACAUCCAGGCAGGCUCCCUGCUGGUAGGUUCCAUGUUGGAGAAGAAGAAGAUGAACAAUAGACUAAUGGGAAAAGGCAUAGGGACAAAUAAGAAGACACUUAGGCCCUGUUUGAUUCAGCUUAGGAUUAUUAUAAUCUAGAUUAUUAGGAGUAAGCUGAAACAAACAAGUAGAUUAUUAUGC
This 1140-nucleotide long non-coding RNA is filed under the name Oryza sativa (Asian cultivated rice). RNAcentral describes it as "long non-coding RNA (OSAT_LNC000139)". Lineage: Eukaryota; Viridiplantae; Streptophyta; Magnoliopsida; Poales; Poaceae. The record is from RNAcentral.